This 1277-nucleotide ribosomal RNA is filed under the name Pseudoplagioporus labiatus. RNAcentral describes it as "partial large subunit ribosomal RNA". It matches the Rfam family "Eukaryotic large subunit ribosomal RNA", at positions 72 to 954 of the family's 3401-position model. Lineage: Eukaryota; Metazoa; Platyhelminthes; Trematoda; Plagiorchiida; Opecoelidae. The record is from RNAcentral.
GGAUUCCCUUAGUAACGGCGAGUGAACAGGGAAAAGCCCAGCACCGAAGCCUGUGGUCAUUUGACUGCCAGGCAAUGUGGUGUUUAGGUCAUUCCGCAGAUGCACUGCUCCACCCUAAGUCCAAUAAUGAGUACGGUGGUACGGACAUGGCCCAUUGAGGGUGAAAGGCCCGUGGGGGUGGAGAUCUGGCAGGACAGUGCUCCUCUGGGAAGACCUUGGAGUCGGGUUGUUUGUGAAUGCAGCCCAAAGUGGGUGGUAAACUCCAUCCAAGGCUAAAUACAUACACGAGUCCGAUAGCGAACAAGUACCGUGAGGGAAAGUUGAAAAGUACUCUGGAGAGAGAGUAAACAGUGCGUGAAGCCGCUCAGAGGUAAACGGGUGGAGUUGAACUGUGAGUCUCGAGGGUUCAGCUGAUGACGUUGAUUGGGUUUGGCCAAAUUGGUUGGGCUCUGGGGUCUGAUCAGUCUCAGGUCUCUGCCUUCGGGUGGGGAUGCGUGAUGCACUCGUUGAGUGUUGUGCGCCUCAGGUGUUCCGGGCCUCGUUGUCAGUGCACUCCCUCGUGGCGGUCACCACGACCGGCGCUGUCGUCUGUCAAUUGUGGUCGAACCGGCCGUGCAUGGUCCUUGUGGCUUUGUGCGGUCGGGAUGGCAGGUAACUCGUUGGUUUGUUCGCGAAUCUUCGGGUGUAAUCAGCUGGCUGCAAUUUGGCUGUGCGAUGUGUCGGGGACGGCGGCUUGAGUGUGUGCGUGCGUGCCAUUCUGUUGGCGUGUCCGUGUUUGGUUGCUCAGUUGCUCACGUAGUGGGCCAAGCGGCGACUGGGACGCGUGCGAUGGGAGGUUGCGUGCGUGACACGAAUCUUGGGCCAAUAGUCUGUGGUGUUGCGGUAGACUAUCCACCCGACCCGUCUUGAAACACGGACCAAGGAGAGUAACAUGUGCGCGAGUCAUUGGGCGUAACGAAACCCAAAGGCGCAGUGAAAGUGAAUGCUUGGCUUGUCCAGGCUGAGGUGAGAUCUUGUCGUUUCUUACGCGCGGUACUACCAAGCAUCGAGCGGCAAGCGCAUCACCGGCCCGUCCCAUGAUCUUGGCAGUCAAUUUAACAGUACAGUCGGGGCGGAGCAAGAGCGUACAUGUUGAGACCCGAAAGAUGGUGAACUAUGCUUGUGCAGAUUGAAGCCAGAGGAAACUCUGGUGGAGGAUCGCAGCGAUUCUGACGUGCAAAUCGAUCGUCAGACAUGAGUAUAGGGGCGAAAGACUAAUCGAACCAUCUGGUAGCUGG